UACGUAGGGUGCAAGCGUUGUCCGGAAUUAUUGGGCGUAAAGAGCUCGUAGGCGGUCUGUCGCGUCGGCUGUGAAAUCCCGGGGCUCAACCCCGGGCCUGCAGUCGAUACGGGCAGACUAGAGUGCGGUAGGGGAGACUGGAAUUCCUGGUGUAGCGGUGAAGUGCGCAGAUAUCAGGAGGAACACCGGUGGCGAAGGCGGGUCUCUGGGCCGUAACUGACGCUGAGGAGCGAAAGCGUGGGGAGCAAACAGG
This 253-nucleotide ribosomal RNA is filed under the name uncultured bacterium. RNAcentral describes it as "partial 16S ribosomal RNA". It matches the Rfam family "Bacterial small subunit ribosomal RNA", at positions 524 to 776 of the family's 1533-position model. The record is from RNAcentral.